GUGUCUUAGACCCUCUGAGACCCACGUCCUCACUCGGGUCCCCGCUGCCUUGCCUCCUGCCUCACACCCGCCUGGGCCGAGGCAGAGCCCAGCCCGCCACACUGGGCUGCCUCCCAGAGCCAGCGUGGUGGCCCCGGCCCUGUCACGGGGACGUGGAAAGAAAGUAGAGGAAAUCUUGUUUGGGUUUAUUUCCAUCUCAUCCUUCACACGUUUUCCACGUGCCCGUGGGGCAGGACCGUGUUGGGUGGCAGGGGACAGAAUUUUUACGUGGACGAGUAGAUCUGUGUCUCCGGUGCGGAGGGGACACAGGUGGUGUCUGGGGAGGGCAGUCCAGAGGGUGGGACGGAACCGCUCGGCCAGCCCCUACUCCUUGUCCUUCCAGCUUCAUCCCCGCUGCUCCUCUGCUACCCUUCCUCGAGCACCUGCAAGUCCCCAUGUCCCCAGCUCCUCUCUGAAGCUUCCCCAGACACUUCCAACUCCCCACGUGCCCUGUGGGUGCCUGUAAUCGCCCGUGUCACUCGGCUGUGGCCACUGUUUAACCUUCCAGCGCCUCCGUCCGGGCUAUCCGCCUCCGGAGGGCCAGGCCCGGGUCUCGGUCUGUCUACGUCCAGAGUAGACUGAGGUCAGCUGACCCUGCCCUGGGGGGACACCCCGGGCCCAGGGAGGUUCGCCGGGCUCCACAAGGUCAGGUCUGCUGAUCCCAGUAAUCAGCUUGAGGCUUCUAAUCCCUCACCGGCAGGAACCUCGGGACGCAGGGCAGAGGCUCGGGAGGGCCGGCAGGGGCCAUCUUGGCCUUCUCCCGCAGGCUCCGUCCGGGAGGGGAUGGGGCGGUCGAGCCAUGUGUACCACCCUCCUCCUGCUCAGCACCUUGGCGGCGCUCUGGCGCCGGCGAUUCGCCAACCGGGUCCAACCAGAGCCCAGCGAAGUUGGAGUCGGUGGGGCGGUGGAGGGCAGCAGCGUGGACACAGACCCCCAGUCCUCCGGCAGGAGGACAGCGCCGCUGGAGGAAGCCCUUACCUCUGCGGGCAGAGCUCAGCCUGGGGAACUGGGGUCGGCCGGCUGAGGCAGGUGGCGAGGGUCAGCGUUGAUUGAGAGCGCCACGUGGGAUCUCGACAGCGUUUUCUAGGCUCGGGGACAAGGCAGUGCUGGGGCACUUACUUCUAAGGAGAGGGCACUCUGGCAUGUCCACUCGGCAGUGCAAGCCCCCCUCCCCAGUGUGGGACAAAGUGCUGUCCAGUUUGGUGUUCCAUGUCAGCUCAGCUCCUGGUUUGCCCCGGACCAGGCCUGGUGUGGGGUGGGGGUGGGGGUGCAGAGAGGCUCGCUGCUCCGGGACGGGCUCCCUUCCUGGGGUCCCCUCUGUGAGCUCUGCAGCCGGCAGCCCAGGCCGGGGCAGGACCAGGGGCAGACUCUGUGUACCACGGACGGGCGUCCUGCUGGCAGUCUCCCUGAGUCCUCACGGCGCCACAGACACCGCUCUCGCUGUCGGCCGCGGUUUGGACACGAGGGAACACGGAGAGGCCAACCCAUUAGCCCGGUGCCGGCUAGCGCGUGCGCUGGUGCUGAGGCCAGAGAGAAGUGCCGGCCGUCUUCCAGAAGAGAGCGGCCUGGACAAACGAAAGGGGUGAGCCCCUGGGGGCCCCACGGAGUGGCCCGAUCAAAAGGGACUUCAGCCGACUGUCUGCAGGUGCCGGGGCCUGCUCACUCCGCCGGCACGUGGAGCGCCUGGGUGCCCGCGCCUGUGGGUGCAAAGUGAAUUAAGACUUCCUUCCGCGCGCAAGAGACAGACACCUGCCAACAGGCAGCACGCAGGGCGGCGGCCUGUGACGGCCUCGGCGUCUGCCCCAGACGGCUCCUGCCUGUGGCUCGGGGGCUGGCGCGGGGGGGGGGGCACCCAAGGGCCCACAGGGCUCUCCGAGGUGAGGAGAGGGUGCUCCUAAGGACGCACGCAGAUCAAUGGGGCCCGAAAACAGACGCCACGAAGGCAACUCGGUGGACAAAGGCAAGUCCUCUCAUCAGGCUACGAAAAGCAACAAAAAUAAAAGAAGAAUGAUUCAUUGGACUUGAUCAACCUUCUUGGAAAGACUGGGAGAAAACACUUGUCAAGAGAAUAUCUGAGGAAAGACGUGCAUCCAGAAUAUCUAAAUAACUUUUACAACUUAGUAUCUGAAAAAGAGCCCGUAAAAAGGGGGAGGGUCUUAAUCACAAAAAAGUGUACACGUGGCCAAUAAACACACAGCAAGACGCUUGCCGUGCUCAGUCACCAGGGAGCUGCGGAUCAGGAAUCUCAAGGCCCUGCCGCAGGCCCCCCCAAGAAUGGAGGCGCCCCCCCCACCCCCCGGGGGAGGACUGACGGGACAGGUGGGACGAGGGGGCGGGGCAGCGCUCCGCGUCACGUGUGCUCGGGAAACCAACGGGCUUGGCAGCUCCCCGUGACUUGACCCAGGAGAUCUGACAAUUCGUGUUCCCCGAAACUUCUGCACAAAAAUGUCCACAGCAGCUUCAUUAGUACCAGCUCUAACGUGGAAACAACCCCAAUACGCAGCCACGUGUGAACGGAUCAACAAAUGGUGGUAUGUUCGCAUAAUGGAAUAAUCGUCAGAAACAAAAAGGAAAUGGGCUACUGAUGUAAGCCGUCAUGCGGAAUAUUGAGAAAAGCCAGACAUGAAAGGAUACCCACUGUGUGAAUCCGUGUAUGUGAAAUUCUAGCACAGGCUGAACUAAUCCACAGUGACAGAAAGCAGAUCGGCGGGUGCCUGGGGCGGGGGUUGGAGGAGGGGCCUGUCUGUAACACGGCAGGAAGGUGCUCUCUGGAGUGACGACAGGUCCUAAAUUGUAACUUGGGUUGUGGGUACAUGGGUGAAUACAUUUAUUGGACCACUG
This is an RNA transcript of Phyllostomus hastatus (greater spear-nosed bat), 2880 nucleotides long. It is a transcript of the gene named photoreceptor disc component, with no coding region annotated. The record is from RefSeq and is a predicted model, not a curated record. Lineage: Eukaryota; Metazoa; Chordata; Mammalia; Chiroptera; Phyllostomidae. The transcript has 5 exons.